GCGGGCGUGGUGGAACCGGUAGACACGCGGGAUUUAGGUUCCCGUGGCGCGAGCCGUGCGAGUUCGAGUCUCGCCGCCCGCACCA
RNAcentral lists this transfer RNA (85 nucleotides) under Pseudomonadota bacterium. RNAcentral describes it as "tRNA-Leu". It matches the Rfam family "tRNA". Rfam says of the family: Transfer RNA (tRNA) molecules are approximately 80 nucleotides in length. Their secondary structure includes four short double-helical elements and three loops (D, anti-codon, and T loops). Further hydrogen bonds mediate the characteristic L-shaped molecular structure. tRNAs have two regions of fundamental functional importance: the anti-codon, which is responsible for specific mRNA codon recognition, and the 3' end, to which the tRNAs corresponding amino acid is attached (by aminoacyl-tRNA synthetases). tRNAs cope with the degeneracy of the genetic code in two manners: having more than one tRNA (with a specific anti-codon) for a particular amino acid; and 'wobble' base-pairing, i.e. permitting non-standard base-pairing at the 3rd anti-codon position. Lineage: Bacteria; Pseudomonadati; Pseudomonadota. RNAcentral also lists the same sequence under 3 other names. The record is from RNAcentral.